AUUCCACAGGCGUUUGCUGUGCACCUCUUGUGCACCAAAUUCGAUGCUAGGCGCUGGGAAUUCAGCAGUGAGCAAAAGAGAAGGAAGGACCUGGUGAAAAAGAUAAAAAGACAGAGAGGCAGUCAGGCGGUGACCACACGGUGGGAGGCCACUGCACAGGCAGAGGCGUUUCAGGGUAUAUGGACGGGAGCCAGGUAGUUAUGGAAGGCUUCCUGGAGGAAGUGGCACCUGCUCAGAGGCCUGAAAGAGGAAUGGGCCUUGUUGUGGGGAGAGGCAGGUUGGGUACUCCAGGUAGAAGGAGCGGCAGGUGCAAAGGCUUGGCGGUGAGAAGACAGGGCACACGGCAAGGACUGAAAGCACAGCAGAGAAGCAUCGCAUGAACUUUCAAUCCUCAGGGUGACUCUGACGAUUAAAGACGCAUAUUUUUGAUCCCAUGAGGACCCUAAACGCAAGCCAGCGACUUUAUCUGGUGCUCAACUGAAGAUAUAGCCACAUUUUCCCACAUUGGAGGAAGACUGUUUUGGACUUACUGAGAGGUACUAAGUCCGGGUACUGUACCUAUGAGUGACUGAAGACAUUUUCAAGGGGUCGUCUGGACUUAGCACAUUUAUCUCCUUCACUCCGACCUUAAGACAACCCCCACUGUGAAGGACAGGAUGCCAGGACAGGGGCACCUGCCUGAGUCAUUUGGAGGAUGAGCCGUGAGACUGGGAAGGUGGACAGCAUCGGGAUAGGGAGAACUGAUGGUAAAGUGAAGGCUGAAACCAGCCCCUAGUGGCAAAGCAUGGAAACAGAAAACUUCACAGCAGAGACCAUCCUUUCACUUCCCGUCGACAUCCUACUGGAAGUUUCCUUAAUAAAAAUAUUCCCACG
Molecule: long non-coding RNA, 873 nt
Filed under: Homo sapiens (human)
Lineage: Eukaryota; Metazoa; Chordata; Mammalia; Primates; Hominidae
Description: non-protein coding lnc-LCTL-2:1
Source: RNAcentral